Molecule: long non-coding RNA, 1938 nt
Organism: Micropterus salmoides (largemouth bass)
Lineage: Eukaryota; Metazoa; Chordata; Actinopteri; Centrarchiformes; Centrarchidae
Exons: 4
Source: RefSeq, a predicted model, not a curated record
GCGAGUGCAGGAAGGAGGAGCUGGUGAGCACCGGGCUGCCCACAUCUCAGACAAGAGCAACUAUGGAUUUCUGACUUAAACUUGGCAAGUUAUAAGGUCAAUAUAAUAUUGAAAUGCAUGGGAAUAAUUCCCCUUCUGCGUGGACAGCUACCUUCAUAAGUCUGAAGGAUUAAUAAAACAACUGGCCGCCACUCCAACCCCAUCCCCUCUACUGUCCAGGUGCCUUGUGGGUAAAGGUGAUGACUGGAGGGUAGUUCCACCCAAGUGGCAGGCGGGCCGUGACAGCUCCGAGAUGCUCUUUGACCUGAGAGGAAGGGAAAACAACAUCAAUGGCCACCAGGGACGCUGGAGGUGUCGGAGGAUGAAGGCGCGCUGCCAAUAACACCAGACGUGUGUGUAUACACUGUAGCUGACACUUGUCCUGCCGUUACCGGGAGAGAUGUGUGCUGAGCUGCUGACACCAGGAUUGAUCUUCCUCCUUUUCCCCAUAAGCUCCAUAUCAAGCUCCUGGAGACUCUUGGAGGAGACAAAGAAUGGGCGGAGGGGCAGGGAUAAGGGGUUGGGGAGGAGGCCAGAGUGGAUGGAAGAGGAGAGAGAAUAUUGUCAACUCACAUCACCUCUUCAAACUAACAAUGUUUAGAGCAGCGUAGGAAUAGAGUACACAAAGUUGACAGUUUCAUUGGUGGGAGGAAGUUCACUUUUUGCUGAAUUGUUGCUCACAGUGACACCACAACACCAACAACUACAUUUCCUAAUGGUUCCUAACAAAAACUACUUUUCAUGAUCAAGACUCAAAUGGUACUAUUCACUAAAGUGAAGAAGAUGUGUUAUAAAAAACAAAUUAGUUGCAUGAUUCUAUAAAUAAUACACCUCAAAACUUGCUUGAUGGUAGAUAACUGUGACCACAAGAUGAUAAGACCCUUUUUGUUUAACCAGAAAGAGAAGUCUCCCUCGAAAUAUCACAAGAAUUGGGUUGUUGCAGGAAGACGCCAGUGGAAAUGUGCUUAAAUUGUUUUUUUAUUUUUUAUUAUUGUGAUACUGGUUGAUAUACAAUUGGGAGUCUGCACAGGGUGUUUUAUUAAAAAAACGUUGCCAGAUUCUCUAUGACAAAAAUAGACAUAGGCAGAGCAGAGCGCCGCUUCCGGCCGCUUCUGAAACGUGCUGUGCGUAUCUGGUGAAAGCACAAGCAGGAUGGCUGCGUUCAGGUCCGAGUGCUCUAUUGCAGCCAGAACACGACACAGCCUGGUGGAGGCUUCACUGGAGCAAGGCAUAAUAACAUAAUAAUAUAUUUUGACUUUGUCUUGUUUAUAUUAUGUGUGGCUUUUCUGAAAAGCCUCCACCUACAUUAAAUUGUUUUUAUCAUUUAUAUAGUGCUUACACAGCUCAUGUGCAAUGCCUAAGUGGAAAAACAAACAGAAAUAAAGCUUUUCAUUGGCAACAGAACCAAGCUGUACUCUAAAUUGGACAGCAGUAAAUAACCUCAGACUGAGACCCUAGCCUGGACUGUAAGACCUCUUCCACUUUAAAACUGCACUUCAUUUGAAAAUGUACAAUGAUAAGCAUUAUACAGAACAUAAUAUUUACAACAAAAUGUAUUCUAAAUAUUUAAUAUUGGAGGAGUAACUGAUCGUCUAGCUGCUGCUGUGAUCCUGCAGCCACAGUAAGUUAAAAUAAUGUACUUUUAAUAUACUUUCUUAAUGUACUAUUUUUUAUUAUUGAUUAUUGUCGUAUUGAUUUUUGUGUUGUCAGUGUUGUGAAAUACAAUAUAAACUUUUCUAAUGAAAUGCUACGUACAACUGUCUGAGCUAAAAGGAUAAAAUAGUUUACAUAGUUUUGAUUACCCUUUAAAGCACAGACGUUGCUGGUAGAUCUCACCAUUCGAUAAACCAAAUCUAAAACUGGCCCACAUUGGCCUUACCAAUUGGCCUUGUAACCAAG